UUAUGUGCUGACGUGCUCCACACCGCAGGCGAGCCCCCCCGGCCCUGUAAUCCAGGCCGGCAGCCUCAAAUCAAUAACCCGCCUUCUCCAUCGACUACUCCGCUCUCACGUUCGCCGGCCCAGGAGGACACUCUCCGUGGCGUUGACGUGAGUCCCUCCCGCUGCCACUGGCAGUAUAACCAGCGGGAGGUCGGUGCAAGUUCACCGGCCAGUUCCGAGACACUGUCUCCCCCCACCCAACUAUUGGAACCAAAUGUACGCUUUCUCUAUGGCAACUACCGGGGCCUCCACGCCUAAAAGCGGGAGAGAGGCAUCGCGUCCGCCACUCCAUCGACUCUUUGUCCCCUGGAAGAACACCGGCGCAGAGCGCUCUGUGACAUACUGAGCCACCAUGAAGGCUGACUGUCUGGUGAAGCCCUCAAAGUUGGAAGCAAUGUAUUGGUACAUCCUUUUUACCAGCCGAGAGCACUCAAGGUGGACUUCUCCAGCAUCACCUGGAGGGACGCAUGAUGACGACGUUUGUCAAUGCAUUAACUAUAAACAAAUAAAACCAACACUCUGUACAACUAUUACAAUCUAAAAAGUGUCAAAACCAAAGCCAUAAAUCAAAGUCAUGACCAAAUUGGUUUAAUUACAGUAGCAAAUUAUGGGUUUGUGGAAAGAAAUAUACUAAUAAAGCAAACUUGGUUAACCACA
Long non-coding RNA from Nerophis ophidion (straightnose pipefish), 696 nucleotides. RefSeq lists it as uncharacterized. The transcript has 2 exons. NCBI's taxonomy places the organism in Eukaryota, Metazoa, Chordata, Actinopteri, Syngnathiformes, Syngnathidae. The record is from RefSeq and is a predicted model, not a curated record.